GUGAGGAAUAUUGCGCAAUGGGCGAAAGCCUGACGCAGCAACGCCGUGUGGGCGAUGAAGGCCUUCGGGUUGUAAAGCCCUUUUCUGGGGGAAGAGGAAGGACGGUACCCCAGGAAUAAGUCUCGGCUAACUACGUGCCAGCAGCCGCGGUAAAACGUAGGAGGCAAGCGUUAUCCGGAUUUACUGGGCGUAAAGCGCGCGCAGGCGGUUUCGUAAGUCGGACGUGAAAGCCUCUGGCUCAACUGGAGGAGGUCGUUCGAUACUGCGGGACUUGAGGUCGGGAGAGGGAAGUGGAAUUCCCGGAGUAGUGGUGGAAUGCGUAGAUAUCGGGAGGAACACCAGUGGCGAAGGCGGCUUCCUGGCCCGUACCUGACGCUAAGGCGCGAAAGCGUGGGGAGCGAACGGGAUUAGAAACCCGAGUAGUCC
Molecule: ribosomal RNA, 426 nt
Filed under: uncultured bacterium
Lineage: Bacteria
Description: bacterial SSU rRNA
Rfam family: Bacterial small subunit ribosomal RNA
Source: RNAcentral